Oncorhynchus keta (chum salmon) is the source of this 1176-nucleotide long non-coding RNA. RefSeq lists it as uncharacterized. The transcript is spliced from 7 exons. NCBI's taxonomy places the organism in Eukaryota, Metazoa, Chordata, Actinopteri, Salmoniformes, Salmonidae. The record is from RefSeq and is a predicted model, not a curated record.
CUCUGGGGGCAGAGUAACUGUAACAAUGUGGAUUCCUAUUAUCUAAGGAUGAAGUAGUUGAUAGUGUGACGUUUGGCACAACAGGCGCUGUAUGGCAGGGCUAAGAGUUUAUGGGAAAACAGGUGCUCUAUGGCAGGGCUAAGAGUUUAUGGGAAAACAGGUGCUCUAUGGCAGGGCUAAGAGUUUAUGGGAAGACAGGUGCUCUAUGGCAGGGCUAAGAGUUUAUGGGAAAACAGGUGCUCUAUGGCAGGGCUAAGAGUUUAUGGGAAAACAGGUGCUCUAUAGCAGGGCUAAGAGUUUAUGGGAAAACAGGUGCUCUAUGGCAGGGCUAAGAGUUUAUGGGAAAACAGGCGCUGUAUGGCAGGGCUAAGAGUUUAUGGGAAAACAGGUGCUCUAUGGCAGGGCUAAGAGUUUAUGGGAAAACAGGUGCUCUAUGGCAGGGCUAAGAGUUUAUGGGAAAACAGGUGCUCUAUGGCAGGGCUAAGAGUUUAUGGGAAGACAGGUGCUCUAUGGCAGGGCUAAGAGUUUAUGGGAAAACAGGUGCUCUAUGGCAGGGCUAAGAGUUUAUGGGAAAACAGGUGCUCUAUGGCAGGGCUAAGAGUUUAUGGGAAAACAGGUGCUCUAUGGCAGGGCUAAGAGUUUAUGGGAAAACAGGUGCUCUAUGGCAGGGCUAAGAGUUUAUGGGAAGACAGGUGCUCUAUGGCAGGGCUAAGAGUUUAUGGGAAGACAGGUGCUCUAUGGCAGGGCUAAGAGUUUAUGGGAAAACAGGUGCUCUAUGGCAGGGCUAAGAGUUUAUGGGAAGACAGGUGCUCUAUGGCAGGGCUAAGAGUUUAUGGGAAGACAGGUGCUCUAUGGCAGGGCUAAGAGUUUAUGGGAAAACAGGUGCUCUAUGGCAGGGCUAAGAGUUUAUGGGAAAACAGGUGCUCUAUGGCAGGGCUAAGAGUUUAUGGGAAAACAGGUGCUCUAUGGCAGGGCUAAGAGUUUAUGGGAAAACAGGUGCUCUAUGGCAGGGCUAAGAGUUUAUGGGAAGACAGGUGCUCUAUGGCAGGGCUAAGAGUUUAUGGGAAGACAGGUGCUCUAUGGCAGGGCUAAGAGUUUAUGGGAAAACAGGUGCUCUAUGGCAGGGCUAAGAGUUUAUGGGAAAACAGGUGCUCUAUGGCAGGGCUAAGAGUUUGG